RNAcentral lists this ribosomal RNA (471 nucleotides) under uncultured bacterium. RNAcentral describes it as "bacterial SSU rRNA". It matches the Rfam family "Bacterial small subunit ribosomal RNA", at positions 329 to 793 of the family's 1533-position model. The record is from RNAcentral.
CUAUGGACUCCUACGGGAGGCAGCAUGGGGGAAUAUUGCACAAUGGGCGCAAGCCUGAUGCAGCCAUGCCGCGUGUAUGAAGAAGGCCUUCGGGUUGUAAAGUACUUUCAGCAGUGAGGAAGGUGGAUAUGUUAAUAGCAUAUUCAUUUGACGUUAGCUGCAGAAGAAGCACCGGCUAACUCCGUGCCAGCAGCCGCGGUAAUACGGAGGGUGCGAGCGUUAAUCGGAAUUACUGGGCGUAAAGCGCAUGCAGGUGGUUUGUUAAGUCAGAUGUGAAAGCCCGGGGCUCAACCUCGGAAUUGCAUUUGAAACUGGCAAACUAGAGUACUGUAGAGGGGGUAGAAUUUCAGGUGUAGCGGUGAAAUGCGUAGAGAUCUGAAGGAAUACCGGUGGCGAAGGCGGCCCCCUGGACAGAUACUGACACUCAGAUGCGAAAGCGUGGGGAGCAAACAGGAUUAGAUACCCUGGUAG